CGGUGUAGCUCAAUGGUAGAGCCCUUGUCUUGUAAACAAGUGGUUGUGGGUUCGAUUCCCACCCCCG
RNAcentral lists this transfer RNA (67 nucleotides) under Olsenella uli. It matches the Rfam family "tRNA". Rfam says of the family: Transfer RNA (tRNA) molecules are approximately 80 nucleotides in length. Their secondary structure includes four short double-helical elements and three loops (D, anti-codon, and T loops). Lineage: Bacteria; Bacillati; Actinomycetota; Coriobacteriia; Coriobacteriales; Atopobiaceae. RNAcentral also lists the same sequence under 1 other name. The record is from RNAcentral.